Long non-coding RNA from Diospyros lotus (date-plum), 3098 nucleotides. RefSeq lists it as uncharacterized. Lineage: Eukaryota; Viridiplantae; Streptophyta; Magnoliopsida; Ericales; Ebenaceae. The transcript is spliced from 2 exons. The record is from RefSeq and is a predicted model, not a curated record.
UUGUCAUCAAAGACUCUCUUUAACACUCACAAUCCCUUCUCCACUUUCUAGGGUUUUAGUGGACUUCUACGUUUGAAAUACUGUUUGUGAUUCCGUGAUUUGUUACUUAUUAAUGGUUUUGAGAAAGAAGGAAUUUCGUAAUUAGGGCUUAGGGCUUGAUGUGGGGUAGAAUUAAAAAUGGCUUGUCAUCUUCAUGUUGCGACUGUAAGCUUCUGCGUAUAUGAAGCAAUGGGAUUUUAAGGGUUUGUUGAUCCAAUAAGAUAUGACUAUAGGGUUUCAAAACAGUACCUGGUUGGGUAUUUCUGUAGGGUUUGAUGGAAGUCAGUGGACUUCAUGUCACCAGGGGGCUGGCUAUAUGAGAACUUAAGAAAAAAAAGAAAAAAAAAGUUUAGGUAGAGACACCAAGAUUUCGUCAUCCAGAGGAUUGAAAAGCAACAAAUAAAAAGAAGCUUAGGGUUUAUGUACCCACUUGACGGAACAUGCCCACGUCGACAAUCAAUAGGAUUUUUUUAGUCUUCAAUUUUAUUUCCCAAGAGAACUUCUUUCUCAGUGAGUUGUUGGAUUAUACUGAAGCUUUAUUGAAUACAUAGAACAUGUUUUGAUCAAAAUUCUCUCUUUUGUUUGUUAUUUUACAUGGUAUGAGCAUGUUUUUGAUUGGUAAAUAGAUGCUGCUAGCUCUGAUCAUGGAUUAGCUUUUUUGCACAAGAGAUGCUGUUCACUAGGUAUUUGAUCUAAUCUUGUGCAGAAAUGGACAUUUCAUUUUGAUGGACUAUUACACAUGCAACAAUAUAUUAUAUAAUGGGUUGCAUUAACCAUUGAAGAAAUUGACCCUAGGUAUUGAUUGGUUGCAGUACACUUAAUUGAACAUGAUAGAACCAAAAUUAUCACAAAGGUCCAAACCAUGAUGGGAGGACUCUCAAUUCAUGGUAGUCCAUUAUUUUAGAAUACAAGGAGUGAGACUUCCAUGUAUAACACCUCUGUAUGUUGGGUAACUGCUAUCAAGAAUUUGAGAACUCUAACCUCCAAGUCGCCACACCAUUUUUGUAAGAAACUUAUUAUGCCUUUUUUUGGUGCAAUCUAUUAGUUUGUGUUUAUUAAAUUUGAUUGGAGUCAUUCUGAUAAGUUGUUGUUAGGAUUAGGAGCACUAGGAUCCUUUCAAUUCAAUGCCAAUCUCACACACUCUCUCACUCGAAAUGAAUUCAAAUAAUAGAAAUAAGAAAACAUAAUAUGAUUUAUACAGACUUCCUUACAAGAUUAGGAAGUUGCCAAAGACUAUCUUAGGAAAGCUUUUGUCAUGAAACUAGGGUUCAUGACGGACUGAAAUGGACAAUCGGAAAGAUCCGAUUGAAUUAAGGUUAAGAGCAGAAUGUAUUAGAGGGAAAAUUGGAGAAGAAUGGGGGAGAAAUUAGAGAGAAAAUGAGGGAGAGCAGAAUAGAGAAAUGAGAGGGAGAUUGUAGAGAAAUUGUAGAGAGAGAAUCAGAUUUCAAUUAUCAAUUCAAGCAUAUCCUUCUCCUCUUACAAUUGACCUUUUUAUAGGCAUAGCUAGAUGUUUAACUAAUUUCUAACAAUAUCCUAACAGCACCCAUGUGCUUCUAACAACUUGUAAAAUAUCUCUAACUAACUAUUAUACUCUAUUACAAUAAUGCCCCUUUAUUACUUCUAAGGUCAUGACAGCUUUCUAAACCUAGAUUAGGAAAUAUACAUCUUUUAGGAUACAACAAAUUAAGGAAAUAUAUACUAAUAUAGAUCUAGAAGAUACAAUCCUAAUUUAGGAAAUAUAUACAAUCAUAAUUAAUCAAUCAAUCAACACUGAUCUUGCCCGAGAUUAGGACCUAAUUGUCGACACCCCCCCCCCCCUCCUUAGAUUGGGUGUGAAUAUCUUGCAUUCCAAUCUUGCUUAUCAUUCUUCUGAACAUGGCUGCAGGCAGGCCUUUGGUUAGCAUGUCUGCUAACUGAUCAUGUGAUGAAAUGUAGGGUGUGCAUACAAGUCCACCAUCCAAUUUUUCCUUUAUGAAGUGUUUGUCUAGUUCAACAUGCUUUGUCUGGUCAUGUAACUUGUGUUGAACUAGAUUAUGAGAGAUACUGAUUACCGACUUGUUAUCACAAUAGAGCUUCAUAGGUGUGGUUCAUUCAAUCAUGAGAUCAUUUAGUAAAAUUUUUAGCCACAAUAAUUCACACAUACCUAGAGCCAUGGAUCGAAAUUCCGCCUUAGCACUUGACCUAGCAACCACGUUUUGUUUUUUGCUUCUUCAUGUUACCAAAUUGCCUACCAACAUGGUACAAUAACCAGAAGUUGAUCUUCUAUCUACAACAGAUCCUGCAUAGUCAAUAUUUGUGUAUGCCUCAAGUGUCAUGGCUUCUCCUUUCUUGAAUAAAAUGCCCCUCCUAGGUGCUCCCUUUAGAUAGUGAAGUAUUCUGUACAUAGCUUUGAGAUGACUUUCUUUUGGGUAGUGCAUAAACUGAUUGACCACCCCUAACAACAUAGGCUAUAUCUGGCUGAAUAUGGGCCAGAUAUAUCAAUUUCCCUACUAGCCUCUGAUAAGCCCCUUUGUCAACCAUACUGUCCUCCAAAGCCUCUCCUAGCCUAUGAUUCAGGUUAAUAGGGGUUUCAACUGCCUUGCAACCUAGCAAUUCGGUUUCAUUUAGGAGAUCCACUGUAUAUUUUUGUUGGGAAAUGAAUAUGCCUUCUUUUGAAUGAGCCACCUCUAUUUCCAAAAAAUAUUUUAAUCUCCCCAAAUCUUUGAUCUCGAAUUCCUUCACCAAACACUCCUUCAGUUGGGUCAUACCUUCCUCAUUAUUGCUGGUAACAACAAUAUCAUCCACGCACACAAUAAGCACUGUCACUCCCCCUGUGAUUGAGUGUUGAAUAAAAAGUGUAUGGUCUCCUUGGUUUUGCCUAUAUCCCAUGCUAAUCAUUACGCUUGUAAAUCUGCCAAACCAAGCCCGUGAGGAUUGUUUCAGUCCAUACAAAGCCUUUUUUAGUUUGCAUACAAUUGGUUCUUGUGUGGUUGUCCCAUAACCUGGUGACAUUUCUAUAUAUACCUCCUCUAGAUUCCCAUGCAAAAAUGCAUUUUUGACAUCAAAUUGAUGCAGUUGCC